UAUAUAUAUAUAUAAAUUUUUUUCUUCUCUCAAAUUGUCUUCUCUGCUUAUAAUGGAAGGAAAAUUUAUUCCCUUAAGACCCUCUUUGCAGUGAUUGAGAAGGACAAAGUGGUAUUUGCUGAUAUUUAGGAUUUGUGCUGCCUUUCUUUAUAUAGUGUAGAUAAUGGAGUUGGUGUUCGUGUCAGCAUAGCUCAAUUAACUAUGUGAGAACAGAUUUUUAACCAAGUAGAUUUUCUGCAAAGCAAUUAUUUAAAGAGUCAUUUUCUUUUAUUUUUAAGUGAAUAAUUCCUACAAUUGCAGUAGUUUUACUCAAGUCAGUGUGUUUUGUACUCCACUGCUUCUGCCAUGUUGGUUGGACUCCAGAAGAGAUGAGCACAGUGAGUGCACCAGCUUUUACACUCAGGAACUUGUGUUGUCUUGUGAUUUUUGGUAUUUAAUCCAGUGCUUGACUUGUGACCUUGAAUUCAGCGUUACCCCUUGUGAAAGGUUUGCUUUGGUAUAUUUCUGUGAAUGUGUUUACAUAGUUGGAGGGAUCACUUGGAGUGUCUGGUGUGGUUAUUAGAAACUGUAUUUUGUGGUUUGUAGGGGAGUUGGAGAAGUAAGUUGACUUUUGUUCCUUCUCUGUUGGUGUAGGAGAAGUUGUGAACAUUAGGAAGUAGAGGUUUGUUUUGUCUUGGUCUGGGUUAUCCCCAAAGAUUUUCCAUGGUCACUUUUAUUUAUUUAUCCCCCCCCCCCCCCCCCCCCAUUUAUUGUAAAUACCAUAUAUAAUUUGUCAUAAAAUUGCCUUUAGUGGUUUUUAUACACAUUCAUAAGAAAUACACAAGUAGUUAUAUCAUACACUUUCAGUCAAACUGUCAAGUUAGUGUGUGUGUGUGCUGAUUUAUGGCCCCUGUCCUUCCCUGGCCGACAUUUCUGCAGGUAAACUAAUUUAUGACCAAGGGUGGGGGUAACCCUAUCGAGUGUAUCAGGGGGUCAAUCUGGCUCCUUUGUGGCUGGGGCUGUGAUGGUGAGGGGUGUGUGGGGGGGGAUAGUCCCCCUCCCAACAAAGGUGUUUAUGUUAAUGAGUCUGUUUUUUUUUUUUGGGGGGGGUGAAAUACAUCUGAAAAGCGUACCAAUGGUUAAUAUUGGGCAUGUGUUUGAUUAUUUCGUUUGUGUAAACACAUUGUUAGAAAAGCAUGAUGUUUUGAAUGUGUACAUAUGAGUAGAAUAUUUGUUUGUGAAAUAAAUGACAACAAAUGUUGAUUACAUUUUAGGGGGCCCGGUUUUGCUUUUGAAUAAAAAGUUUAGGCGGUAAAGCGUUUUUUAAAAAAGAAUCUGUUUAAAGAAUCGCACAUAUUACAUAACUUCUAAACAGAAACCUUUAGGAGGUAAAAAAAAAAAAAAAGAUUAAGAGAGUUGUUUAAAAAGAAAUCCGUAUUACUUGUCUUCCAAAAAAAAAACCCCACACAAAACCUUUAGGAUGUAAAAAUGGUUAAGAGCUGUUUAAAAAGAAUAGCACGUAUUACAUGACUUCUAAACAAAGAUCCUUAUGAGGGCGUUACCAACUCCCGAGAACCUCUCUCAAGACCGCCCUCAUGCUGCGACGAUUAAAACGGGGUGGCCUGUGUUACAGUGAACACGUAUUACAAAGAUGCAUCAAGAUUCUGCAUAUGCCUGCUACAGCACCAACCCAGAAACAGCGCCGGCUCUGCCUGACGACAACGCAACAACCCUAGAAUCCCCGCCUCAAACAUAUGACACCAGGUGGCUAGAUAAUUUCUGCAAGGAAUUAGGAUAUCACAACCUAAGUUUCCUCACAACUCCGUACGGAAUCAGUGGCUCUUUAACUGGCGCCUCUGCCUACAUUGGUAUUGAUGACACAGAUGACUCUAUUCACUCUGACGCAUU
Ictalurus punctatus (channel catfish) is the source of this 1887-nucleotide long non-coding RNA. Lineage: Eukaryota; Metazoa; Chordata; Actinopteri; Siluriformes; Ictaluridae. The record is from Ensembl.